AUUGAACGCUGGCGGCAGGCUUAACACAUGCAAGUCGAGCGGGGUGAUGGUGCUUGCACUAUCACUUAGCGGCGGACGGGUGAGUAAUGCUUAGGAAUCUGCCUAUUAGUGGGGGACAACAUCUCGAAAGGGAUGCUAAUACCGCAUACGUCCUACGGGAGAAAGCAGGGGAUCACUUGUGACCUUGCGCUAAUAGAUGAGCCUAAGUCGGAUUAGCUAGUUGGUGGGGUAAAGGCCUACCAAGGCGACGAUCUGUAGCGGGUCUGAGAGGAUGAUCCGCCACACUGGGACUGAGACACGGCCCAGACUCCUACGGGAGGCAGCAGUGGGGAAAAUUGGACAAUGGGGGGAACCCUGAUCCAGCCAUGCCGCGUGUGUGAAGAAGGCCUUAUGGUUGUAAAGCACUUUAAGCGAGGAGGAGGCUCUUUUGGUUAAUGCCCAAGAUGAGUGGACGUUACUCGCAGAAUAAGCACCGGCUAACUCUGUGCCAGCCGCCGCGGUAA
This 503-nucleotide ribosomal RNA is filed under the name uncultured bacterium. Its description in RNAcentral is "partial 16S ribosomal RNA". It matches the Rfam family "Bacterial small subunit ribosomal RNA", at positions 30 to 523 of the family's 1533-position model. The record is from RNAcentral.